AGUCAGAAGAAAGCAAGCUCCUUCUGACAACUUGCACCAAAGAAGUCAUCUCAGAGCUUCUGGUCUUGUACAAGACUGCAAUGUCAAAGGAGGACGCCCUGUACACUGUUGGAGAAAAAGGAUCAGGCUUCUCUAUUGAGAGAGAGAAAUUUGUAGAGGGUGUUCUGGCUCAGCUUGGGGAUAUUGCCCAUUCCAGGGCCUCAUCACCAAUAGUAUGUGAGUUCCCCUGUCAAAUUGAGGACAGCAGAAGUAAGGCCACAGCUUCUUUGACCAGUCUGUUAGAUUGUAUUAGAAAACUCUCAAGUGAGGAAUUUAAGAGAAAUGCCACUCAAGCAGUGAGUGAGUUCCUAGUUAAAAAGUCCACCAGUAGCUUAACUAGUGCACAGCCUGCUUAUUCUGUAGCAUCCAGGUCUUGUUCCAUUCAAAACCAGUACACAUGGUCAAAGGAUAUUUGUGCGGAUUCUGCUGCCUUUGGCAUCAUUGAAACAUUUGUGGAAGACCUGCAGAGCUCGGCGCAACCUGCAGAAGUAGAGGAGAGAGAACCUGACCUCCAGGAAAAUGCACAAAAGCUACAGAGCAGGAUCUGGUCUGCUACCACUAGUUUAUAUAACAAUAUUCAGAAGACAUUAAAGGACUUCAUCAUUCAUCAGCGGAGGUCAGACAUGCUGAGCAGAAUGUCUAGUCAUAUACCCACAGAGGACUCUGGACAUCUUGGGACUAAGGAGCACAUUUGUUUGGCAAGCCAGGACUUGAGGCAAGCUAGUAAGAGUGUGCCUCACUUUCACAGUUUGAACCUUGAAGUGGCUCUACACAGGGGUGUCAGCGAGUGUUCAAAACUUCUCUGGACUGAAACAGACGAGGCUCUACUGACCAAUAGUACCAAAGAGGUCAUUUCAACAAUCUUGACCUCAUGCGAGGAUCAGGCAUCAAAUGCACCUUGCUUCUCCACAGUAGGAAAGAAAAUAUCUGAUAUGUCCCUUGAGGUCAACAUGUUGGUAGGUGGUGUUCUGUCUCAGCUGAAGGACAUCUCCUUGUCAAGGUCCCCAACACCAUGUGAAGACAUGUUUGAACGUCUCCAAGGUUCUCCUGAGCGAACCUCUCCAGUAAGUCUAGAUUGCAGCACGGCUGCCUCCAAAGGCAUUGCAUCUUCCCACAGUCUUUCAACAAAGAGCCUCCAAAAACGUUCUAGUCAUGAGUUCCAAACCAAAGCUGAGAAAGGAGUGAGUGAGGUAAUCUCUAGAUCAUUUAACAUUGCGGAGGAAGGUACAACAGAUAAGUACCUCCAGUCUGUAUCUACAUCCACCACAUCUACUGAUAUUAUACAAACCAUGGUGAAAGACCAGCAGGAGCUCACCCAGACCACCCAAUCAUCUGACAUGGUAUCUGGAACCUCCCUGCUCACCACUGGACAGGUUUCUGAGAAAAGAAUCUGGUCUGUUGCUCGUAACAUCUACUACAGUCUGCAAAGUAAGAUUACGGAGUUUCUCAGAAAAGAUCUUCAAAGAUCAGACACAACACUUGGUUCAAUCCAAAUAUUUACAUAUCAAAGCAGUCCUGCUUCACAAAGAGCAAGUCUCGGCCAUCUUGAGGUCAACCAGAGCAGUGUUACACCUGGUGGAAACGAUGCCUGUGUGGACAUUCCGCACAAAUUACUACCUAAAACCACUGAGCUCUCAGGAUCCAUGCUGGAGGAUAUUGGCACGAUCCGUUGUAGGAGUGCUGACAGCCCAAAUACAAGAAAUACCUCUUCUUCACGCUCCUCCAUCUCUCUAACACCUACUUCAAAAUUAAGGCAGUCGAAAUGGCACUUUGCUUUACCCGGGACUCCCAUCCCCACUGAGUUUCCUGCUCAGAUUGACUUUCCCAUUGUUAGAAACACAAUCAUUGAGGACUUCUUUCACACAGAGGACUUACUUCCUGUAACCUUUGUGGACAAAGUCAGGCAAGCUGCUGGGGUGGUAGUGGACAUUAUGGUGGAAAGUGUUGAGAACACACAGGAAAAUGGACAGGGUGCUUCACAUCUUGACGACCUCCGAUCUGCUGUUAGGAAAUUGAGAAAAAUCAUUUCCACUUGGACCAUCCACAUUUUCAGCCAUGAAUUGUUGGAUAAAGUGAUAGCCCUUCAGGACAGCCACAGCACUCCACAGGUCUUAACAUUGGAAGCAGCCAAAAGUGCUUCAGACUCCAUUCUUUCAAGGCUGAAAUGGGGAAAUGAACAAUGUGCCAUAUCCAAGGAGCUCUCCUCUCAGCUUCUCCAGAUAUUUGCUGAAGAGACAGUGAAGUGCUUCCUGAGACAGUGGUCAGAUGAGUAUGAAAACAUCAACUUUGAUGUUUCAGUCCAGAACGAUCCAAAGACUUCUACUUGCAUGGUCAUUCUUCAAAUGAUCACCAAAGCCACUGCUAAAUGUUAUUUUGAGUCCGCUACCAGCGUGGCCACCAGUGACAUUGUAGAAGGCGUGUUUGAUUUGGAAAGGGAUACCAUCAGCAGUACUGGAGAGCAGGUCCUCACCUUUAACACAAAGGUAUAGUACACAUACAUCUUUCAUGAAUAACACUGCUGUUGACCUUUUAUAUGAUUCUUUGUGUCAUGGCAUUGCACUGGUUCUUUGCAGUUGAUAUGCUGUACUUUAAGAUAUCGAAAACAUUUCAGUUUGUUUUAAUGUGCCUUUUCCCACCAACCAGGGUUCCAAGAAAGUUAGAAAGGACCACUGUCCUCAAGAGUCUCUGGAGUACCAGCCUCAGAACAUUUCCCCUACUGUGUACUUUACAGAGACGAUGACAACAUCUCAUGGCUCCUUUUCUCCAGAGGGAAUUUAUGAUAUCGCAUCGUCCUUCCCACUUGAAGAGAAGAGUCGCAAACCCUCCCUUUUCACCAGAUUGUCUAGAUCCAUCACGAAAGGCUUUCUCAGCCCAUUCAAAUCUUCAAGGAAAACCAAAUUAUUUAAAUAAAUUCCUCAUUAUAACAACGAGAGCAUUCAUUUGUUCAGAUGAGAAUCUAAUCGUAUUGGUCACAUACGCCGAAAACAACUGUGAGAUGCUUUAUUACGAGCCCAUUCCCAACAAUGCAGAGUUAAAAAGUAAGAAAAUAUUUUCUAAAUAGUAACACAAUAACAAUAACAAGGCUAUAUACAAGGAGUACCAGUACCGAGUCAAUGUGCAUGGGUGCGAGGUAGUUGAGGUAAUACAGUAUGUACAUGUAGGUAAGGGUAAAAGUGACUAGGCAAUCAGGAUAGAUAAUAAACACAGUAGCAGCAGCUAGUGUGAAAGUCGGACAGUGAAUGUGUGGGUAGAGUGUAGUGAGUGUGCAUCGAGCCAAUUCAAGAGAGUCAGUGGAAAACAAUUAGAAAAAUACAUCAAUAACCAAGGGGGUCAAUGCAAAUAGUGCAGGUGGCCAUUUAAUUAACGUUCAGCAGUCUAAUGACUUGGGGGUAGAAGCUGUUCAGCAGUCU
Non-coding RNA from Oncorhynchus mykiss (rainbow trout), 3449 nucleotides. The record is from RefSeq and is a predicted model, not a curated record. Lineage: Eukaryota; Metazoa; Chordata; Actinopteri; Salmoniformes; Salmonidae.